This 286-nucleotide unclassified non-coding RNA is filed under the name Hevea brasiliensis (rubber tree). The record is from RNAcentral. Lineage: Eukaryota; Viridiplantae; Streptophyta; Magnoliopsida; Malpighiales; Euphorbiaceae.
CUUCUGAUGAAUAAAACUGCAGAAGUAUUUAGCAUAGCGGCAUCAAUUCACAAAAGGUUAUACUGACAGAGAACUUGAUAAUUAGAAGCAUAAACACUCAUUUGCAGUAAACAUCCACUUGCAACCAUAGAGUUAUUUCGCCGACAAGUACUAAAGUAGUAGGUUUAAAUUCCUCAAACGAACAAAUCAAGUAAUUCAUCCACAGUGCUGUAUUUGACAUCUGGAUAUAGCUCAGAAGCCUCAACACCCCAUGAUGGCUCAAUCUCAAAGUUUGUCUGAUCUCCCU